Long non-coding RNA from Apus apus (common swift), 848 nucleotides. RefSeq lists it as uncharacterized. NCBI's taxonomy places the organism in Eukaryota, Metazoa, Chordata, Aves, Apodiformes, Apodidae. The transcript is spliced from 3 exons. The record is from RefSeq and is a predicted model, not a curated record.
UCGUGGACCGUUGCGGUGGGAUUCUCAACGUGGCUGCACUUGGCUCACCCCCCAGCACCCACAAACUGCUUGGUCUGACACAAAAAGCACUUUCUGGUGAGUAUAAAUCCAGGGAGGGGAGGGAGAUGAUUUAAUUGCUUGUCUCUUUUGGGUGCAGGGGAGGGCUGGGCCACCCCCACACUGCCCAGGAGCCCUCUUGGCCGAUUCCAGCCAGCGCCGCGUUUUCCCCGUCCCUCCAUCCCUACAACCUGGGCAAGGAGGCAACUUUCUGUCAUCAGAAAGGGUUCACAAAUGAGGACUGAACGUGGAGUCAGCUGCAAGAUCCAGCCCUUCCCUGUUGGCUCCUCAAACUCUUGGGAAUUUCUUCCCCCCCCCCCCCCCAACCUGCAAGCCCUGACACAUCCCAGGCACCACGCGUGGGACACGGAGGAGGCAGUUUUGCACCCAUCCAGCAGAGGCAGGAGGGGAAGAGCAUCGAGUUCGAAAAGACAAGUGACAUUUCAGCCGAGCCACAAACGUCCCGAGCGCUGGAGCUUCAGGGGCCAAGGGCUGAAGUGAUGUAAAUCAGGGGGACAACAGGCCCCUGGGUGGAUCUCUGCUGAUUUACAUCAGGAUCCUUUCACUCCUUUGAUUUCCACCCAGCAAUUCCCAGGAAAAUCAAACCCAGACCAGAUCUUCAUCCUGGAAAAGAGUUUAAAUGCUGAAGCAAAAAAAUAUUUGCUUUAUUGAGGUAGGAGGGGAUGAAGUGGGGGGAACAAUCCCUUGUUUGAAGUAUUUUUAACAUCUCUUCAUCUCGAGUCAAACCAAGGAUGAAGCAAGGGACAAAUCCUGGGGAUUUGCUGGGGAAG